UAGGGGAGCGUUCUGUAAGCCGAUGAAGGUGUAUUGAGAAGUAUGCUGGAGGUAUCAGAAGUGCGAAUGCUGACGUGAGUAACGACAAAACGGGUGAAAAACCCGUUCGCCGAAAGACCAAGGGUUCCAGUCCAACGUUAAUCGGGGCUGGGUGAGUCGACCCCUAAGGCGAGGCCGAAAGGCGUAGUCGAUGGGAAAAUGGUUAAUAUUCCAUUACUUCUGUGUAAUGCGAUGAGAGGACGGAGAAGGCUAAAUCAGCCUGGCGUUGGUUGUCCAGGUGAAAGGAUGUAGGCAUGUAUCUUAGGCAAAUCCGGGGUACUCUAUGCUGAGAUCUGAUAGCAAGCUGUACUUGUACAGCGAAGUGGUUGAUGCCAUGCUUCCAGGAAAAGUCUCUAAGCUUCAGUUACACAGGAAUCGUACCCGAAACCGACACAGGUGGUCAGGUCGAGUAGACCAAGGCGCUUGAGAGAACUCUGCUGAAGGAACUAGGCAAAAUGGUACCGUAACUUCGGGAGAAGGUACGCUGUUGUUGGUGAUGGAACUCGCUUCCUGAGCUGACGACAGCCGCAGAAACCAGGCCGCUGCAACUGUUUAUUAAAAACAUAGCACUCUGCAAACACGAAAGUGGACGUAUAGGGUGUGAUGCCUGCCCGGUGCUGGAAGGUUAAUUGAUGGGGUUAGCGUAAGCGAAGCUCUUGAUCGAAGCCCCAGUAAACGGCGGCCGUAACUAUAACGGUCCUAAGGUAGCGAAAUUCCUUGUCGGGUAAGUUCCGACCUGCACGAAUGGCAUAAUGAUGGCGGCGCUGUCUCCAGCAGAGGCUCAGUGAAAUCGAAAUCGCUGUGAAGAUGCAGUGUACCCGCGGCUAGACGGAAAGACCCCGUGAACCUUUACUGCAGCUUGACACUGAACUUUGACCUUACUUGUGUAGGAUAGGUGGGAGGCUUUGAAGCUGGAACGCUAGUUCCAGUGGAGCCGUCCUUGAAAUACCACCCUGGUAAUGUUGAGGUUCUAACUCUGUCCCGUGAUCCGGGACGAGGACCGUGUCUGGUGGGUAGUUUGACUGGGGCGGUCUCCUCCUAAAGAGUAACGGAGGAGUACGAAGGUGCGCUCAGCGUGGUCGGAAAUCACGCGUAGAGUAUAAAGGCAAAAGCGCGCUUAACUGCGAGACCCACAAGUCGAGCAGGUACGAAAGUAGGUCUUAGUGAUCCGGUGGUUCUGUAUGGAAGGGCCAUCGCUCAACGGAUAAAAGGUACUCUGGGGAUAACAGGCUGAUACCGCCCAAGAGUUCAUAUCGACGGCGGUGUUUGGCACCUCGAUGUCGGCUCAUCUCAUCCUGGGGCUGAAGCAGGUCCCAAGGGUAUGGCUGUUCGCCAUUUAAAGAGGUACGCGAGCUGGGUUUAGAACGUCGUGAGACAGUUCGGUCCCUAUCUACCGUGGGCGCUGGAAAUUUGAGAGGAUCUGCUCCUAGUACGAGAGGACCAGAGUGGACGAACCUCUGGUGUACCGGUUGUGACGCCAGUCGCAUCGCCGGGUAGCUAUGUUCGGAAGGGAUAACCGCUGAAAGCAUCUAAGCGGGAAGCCUACCUCAAGAUAAGAUUUCCCUAGGACUUUAUGUCCUCUAAAGAGCCGUUCGAGACUAGGACGUUGAUAGGUUGGAUGUGGAAGCAUAGUGAUAUGUGAAGCUGACCAAUACUAAUUGCUCGUGAGGCUUGACUAU
RNAcentral lists this ribosomal RNA (1718 nucleotides) under Acinetobacter baumannii 45002_6. RNAcentral describes it as "bacterial LSU rRNA". It matches the Rfam family "Bacterial large subunit ribosomal RNA", at positions 1229 to 2925 of the family's 2925-position model. Lineage: Bacteria; Pseudomonadati; Pseudomonadota; Gammaproteobacteria; Moraxellales; Moraxellaceae. The record is from RNAcentral.